UGGGGAAUUUUGGACAAUGGGGGAAACACUGAUCCAGCCAUCCCGCGUGUGCGAUGAAGGCCUUCGGGUUGUAAAGCACUUUUGGCAGGAAAGAAACGUCAUGGGUUAAUACCCCGUGAAACUGACGGUACCUGCAGAAUAAGCACCGGCUAACUACGUGCCAGCAGCCGCGGUAAUACGUAGGGUGCAAGCGUUAAUCGGAAUUACUGGGCGUAAAGCGUGCGCAGGCGGUUCGGAAAGAAAGAUGUGAAAUCCCAGAGCUCAACUUUGGAACUGCAUUUUUAACUACCGGGCUAGAGUGUGUCAGAGGGAGGUGGAAUUCCGCGUGUAGCAGUGAAAUGCGUAGAUAUGCGGAGGAACACCGAUGGCGAAGGCAGCCUCCUGGGAUAACACUGACGCUCAUGCACGAAAGCGUGGGGAGCAAACAGG
Molecule: ribosomal RNA, 429 nt
Filed under: Acidobacteriota bacterium
Lineage: Bacteria; Pseudomonadati; Acidobacteriota
Description: Acidobacteria bacterium partial 16S ribosomal RNA
Rfam family: Bacterial small subunit ribosomal RNA
Source: RNAcentral